GACGAACGCUGGCGGCGUGCUUAACACAUGCAAGUCGAACGAUGAAGCUGGAGCUUGCUCCGAUGGAUUAGUGGCGAACGGGUGAGUAACACGUGAGCAAUCUGCCCUUGACUCUGGGAUAACUGCGGGAAACUGUAGCUAAUACCGGAUACUUUCACUGGAAGGCAUCUUUUGGUGAAGAAAGAAUUUCGGCCAAGGAUGAGCUCGCGGCCUAUCAGCUUGUUGGUGAGGUAACGGCUCACCAAGGCGACGACGGGUAGCCGGCCUGAGAGGGUGACCGGCCACACUGGGACUGAGACACGGCCCAGACUCCUACGGGAGGCAGCAGUGGGGAAUAUUGCACAAUGGGCGCAAGCCUGAUGCAGCAACGCCGCGUGAGGGAUGAAGGCCUUCGGGUUGUAAACCUCUUUUAGCAGGGAAGAAGCGAAAGUGACGGUACCUGCAGAAAAAGCACCGGCUAACUACGUGCCAGCCGCCGCAGUAA
Molecule: ribosomal RNA, 484 nt
Filed under: uncultured bacterium
Lineage: Bacteria
Description: partial 16S ribosomal RNA
Rfam family: Bacterial small subunit ribosomal RNA
Source: RNAcentral